UACAGAGGGGGCAAGCGUUAUUCGGAAUUAUUGGGCGUAAAGGGCGCGUAGGCGGCAUGGCAAGUGGAUGGUGAAAUCCCUCGGCUUAACAGGAACUGCCGUCCAAACUGCUUCGCUUGAGACCGGGAGAGGUGAGUGGAAUUCCCAGUGUAGCGGUGAAAUGCGUAGAUAUUGGGAGGAACACCAGUGGCGAAGGCGGCUCACUGGACCGGUACUGACGCUGAAGCGCGAAAGCGUGGGGAGCAAACGGG
This 251-nucleotide ribosomal RNA is filed under the name uncultured bacterium. Its description in RNAcentral is "partial 16S ribosomal RNA". It matches the Rfam family "Bacterial small subunit ribosomal RNA", at positions 524 to 776 of the family's 1533-position model. The record is from RNAcentral.